UCGUGAGGUAACUGGCGCUGGCCCACGCCGACUAAGGGAGACGCUCUAGGCACCGGGAUGGGGUCCCUGUCCCCGAGCUCUAGCGGGUCAGAACGCCUUCCUGGUCCGCGGCCGAGUUGAAAGUUGUUCCCACUCCCAUAAGUCCAAGGACCAGCGUCAGCUGUGUACCUGCCGAGCAGCCCUACUGAGGACUGUGCUCGGCCUCUGAAUAUCUAGACGGACACGAGCCAUACCCAGUGACGGCCCAAACCAGCGAACGCUGUCUGGCAACGUUUUUUGCAAUUUGUCUUAUUUAAAAACCAUAUACGGGCUUGGAGUGGUGGUGCCUGUGGUCCCACCUACUUGGAAGGCUGAGGUGGGAGGAUAACUCGAGCCCGAGAGGUCGACACCGCAGUAAGCGGUGCUCGCGCCACCGCACUCCAGCCUGGGCAACAGAGCGAGACCAUGUAUUAAAAAAAAAAAAAAAAUCCCCAGUCAUUUCUUCCGCUGUCAAACACCGUCUACAAGAUUCGAGUCAAACAACGUGAGAACUUGAAAUACGUCUCCAUUCUUUUUCCUUAGUACUCUCGUUCAUUCACUUACGGAACUGAUCUGCCUUACUAUUUCCACAAAAACUAGUCAUCAGCAAGAAGCUACCUGUGGGGUGCACAUUCUCAGGUCAAAUGACUUAGAAGCAACUUGAGGCAGUAUGGGAGCAUAAAAGACAGCCAGGAUGCCAAAGUCUCCGAGCAGUGAGUAGGAGUCUAAGAAGUUGGAAAGAUUCAUGGACCUCUUCCAGUAUGUGAAAGCCACAACUGUGGAGCAAAUGGGAAAGCAGCAAUGUGAGAACAGAUUAAUACACAGAGCAUCCAGAGAGAAAUACCCAGCAAUCAGUUGGAGCUGAAAGGCCCAAGAAGGAGAGGGAAUAGAAGGAUGACAUGCAUAUUUGGAUGAAAUUCACAUAUAGGAGGAAUCCAAAAAAGUGUCCGUAGAGAUAAAAAGGUUCUAGAGGUUGCCUGCAUUCCUUGACUCCUGAAUCUCUAUCACCUUCAGAGCCAGAUAUUUCCUGCUGAGUCUUUCUGAGGCUGCAUCACCCUGACCCUGACUCUUCCAUCUCCAUCCUUCAUGCUUAAAGGAUCCUGGUGAUUACAUUGGACCCUCCCGUACAAUCUAGGAUACAUUUUUAACCUUAAGGUCUUCAAGGGAUCACCACACUGUCUUCCACAAUGGUUGAACUAAUUUUCACCCCCACCAAUGAUGCUACCAUUGAAUUUAAUUAUGAUGCUGUCUUCAACAUGGAAGUUACAUAAGAAAAUCUGAAGCCAUUGUGUAUUUCAGCUAGGCUUCUUCUUAGGAAAUAGAGGUCAGCCUAGUGCAGUGAAGUCUGAUUGGAGGUGGACAAUGAGGAUCCUGCCAAGGUGCUGUCCUUAGCUUCUGUUCAGCCUAAUGUAAGUUCAUUCCUUUUGAUUACAGUCAUUUCAAUGACUUUUUUUGCCCAUAAAAUUAUGACCACAUAAUUCUUAUAGACUCUUCUAGCUUUUCAAUGUUGGGGAAGAAAGCUCGCCUAAUAAGCAACUUUUCAACCUCAGAAGCUUAAGUAUUAUGAAGCAAUAAGACCCAAGAUUUGAUGAAAGAAAAGCCAGAAUUUAGUAUGGCUGAAGAUAGGUGGGGAUACAGACCA
RNAcentral lists this long non-coding RNA (1660 nucleotides) under Homo sapiens (human). RNAcentral describes it as "HSALNT0366931". The record is from RNAcentral. Lineage: Eukaryota; Metazoa; Chordata; Mammalia; Primates; Hominidae.